This 299-nucleotide signal recognition particle RNA is filed under the name Cebus imitator (Panamanian white-faced capuchin). Its description in RNAcentral is "Metazoan signal recognition particle RNA (ENSCCAG00000010564.1)". It matches the Rfam family "Metazoan signal recognition particle RNA". Rfam says of the family: The signal recognition particle (SRP) is a universally conserved ribonucleoprotein. The record is from Rfam by way of RNAcentral. Lineage: Eukaryota; Metazoa; Chordata; Mammalia; Primates; Cebidae.
GCAGGGCCAGUGGUGUGUGCCUGUAGUCCCAGCUACUGGGGAGGCUGAGGUGGGAGGAUCACUUGAGCCCACGAGUUCUGGGCUAUAGUGCGCUAUGCUGAUCGGGUGUCCACACUAAGUUAGGCAUCAAAAUGGUGACCUCCUGGGAGCGGGGACCACCAGGUUGUCUAAGAAGGGGUGAACCAGCCCAGAUCGGAAACGGAGCAGGUCAAAACUCCUGUGCUGAUCAGUAGUGGGAUCGUGCCUGUGAAUAGUCACUGCACUCCAGCCUAGGCAACAUUUUUGAGACCCCAGUCUCA